CCCUUAGAUGUUCUGGGCCGCACGCGCGCUACACUGAUGCAUUCAACGAGUCUAAAACCUGGUCUGAUAGGGCUGGGUAAUCUUUUGAAUGUGCAUCGUGAUUGGGAUAGAUGAUUGCAAUUCUUCAUCUUCAACGAGGAAUGCCUAGUAAGCGCAAGUCAUCAGCUUGCAUUGAUUACGUCCCUGCCCUUUGUACACACCGCCCGUCGCUCCUACCGAUUGAAUGUUCCGAUGAAUACCAUGGACUGAGAGUAUGAAUGGGUUCGCCUAUUUCUGCUUCUCGGGAAGUGGAGUAAAUCUUAACAUUUAGAGGAAGGAGAAGUCGUAACA
RNAcentral lists this ribosomal RNA (330 nucleotides) under uncultured eukaryote. RNAcentral describes it as "partial 18S ribosomal RNA". It matches the Rfam family "Eukaryotic small subunit ribosomal RNA", at positions 1470 to 1796 of the family's 1831-position model. The record is from RNAcentral.